AUACCUACCUGGCAGGGGAGAUACCAUGAUCACGAAGGUGGUUUUCCCAGGACGAGGCUUAUCCAUUGCACUCCGGAUGUGCUGACCUCUGCGAUUUUCCCAAAUGUGGGAAACUCGACUGCAUAAUUUGUGGUAGUGGGGGACUGCGUUCGUGCUUUUA
This 160-nucleotide small nuclear RNA is filed under the name Zalophus californianus (California sea lion). RNAcentral describes it as "U1 spliceosomal RNA (ENSZCAG00015001670.1)". It matches the Rfam family "U1 spliceosomal RNA". Rfam says of the family: U1 is a small nuclear RNA (snRNA) component of the spliceosome (involved in pre-mRNA splicing). Its 5' end forms complementary base pairs with the 5' splice junction, thus defining the 5' donor site of an intron. The record is from RNAcentral. Lineage: Eukaryota; Metazoa; Chordata; Mammalia; Carnivora; Otariidae.